RNAcentral lists this transfer RNA (9641 nucleotides) under Homo sapiens (human). Its description in RNAcentral is "HSALNT0333350". The stretch from base 9057 to 9129 matches the Rfam family "tRNA". Lineage: Eukaryota; Metazoa; Chordata; Mammalia; Primates; Hominidae. The record is from RNAcentral.
CAGAUACACGUGUAGAAACAUACACACACGUAAUGUACACAUAUGUAUAGUGCACAUAUGCACGCACUUGUACACACAUUUAGGCAUACACAUGCAUAUGUAGAUGCAUGUGUACAUGCAUGUAUACAUCUACACAUGCACAGACACACAUACAUGUACACAUGCAUACUGUGUACAUAAUACAUGUAUACAGAUACAUGUGCGCAUGCACGUGUACACACAUGCAUGCAUACACACAUGCAUUUGUAGAUAUAUGUGUAGGUGUGUACACACAACAUACACAUAUGCAUCCACACAUACACAUAUACAUAUGAGGUGGCACGUUCAGCUUUCAAGAGGACCAUCAGGGACUUUGUCACCUUGACAACUUUAGCCUUGCCUUCUAGUCACCUUGCCGGAACACUUGUGCCCGUGUUUUUCUAGCACUGUCAUAAGAAUACUUUUACCUAUCAAGGCAACUGGGGGUUAGGAGAGCUUUUUGCACAGGAGGCUACUUGGCUUUGUUUGAAAACUGAUGAUACAUGAGGAUUGGGGUGGUGAAUCACUCACAUGUUUCUUCAUAUGAAAAAUGAGGACUGUGGGAUUCUCUGGCUGGAUCUCAGCACCUAGAAAUGGAUCUGGGCAAUAGGAACUGCUCAGUAUUAGCUACCGCUUUGGUUGCCUUCUCCUUGCGGAAAGCUGGCCUCUCACACUGAAUUUGUAUCAUAGGCACUCAUGAGGGUCUUGACUGUAUCAAUAUCUGAUGAGAGAUUUUAGUGCAGUUCUGUUAUCGUGGCUGAUUUGCUCAUUUGGUAGCUAGCAUCCAGCUUCUUGUGAACAUUAAAAUAAAAUAAAAUAGAUUAUGGAGGAAUAGAAUACAGAUACGUAGUAAGGUAUUAUUUUCCAGACAAAAUGGAUUUGGAUAAAAGAAUCUAAUUAAGAACUUGUGCAUGAUUCUUUUAAAAUUCUUUUGAAUCCAUUUUUUUUUUUUUGGCCUGUUUUCAAGUCUCCGAUUUUUGUCACCCUUCUCACACCAGGUCAGAGAGAUAGCUAAUGGUCAGAAGGAAUCUUCCAGCAAUGACCAUAGCGCUUUCUCCUGCCUGCAGAUGCCUCUUUUUAUUCAGCCUUUAUGGGAAGUAGCAGCACCAUCCAGUUCUCAGAGAGCAAGCUCUGGAGUAACUGAGCUAACCCCAGUUACCCCAGUGGAUUUACAGAUUGAGGUUACAACCCAGCAGGGUUCUCUUCCUGGAAAGAAUAGCCUUCCCUCUAAGGUUUCAAAUAGACCCUGGGUGAGGAAGGAGCCCUAAACAGCUUGAAAAAUUGAAUGCUCUUUGGGCAAAGCAGGAAGCCGUCCUAUGGAAGAGCAUCAUUUGAGCAUAAAUCAGGUUAUCAGGACAAACAGAGUGUUCAGGAGGUCAAGAUGGUUAAGCAGAGACCCUGACCAGAAUGUCCGUGGCGGAGAGAAACAAUCUUGUUGGGAAAAGGAUGACAAUAAUUGGGGACUUAGAAUAAAGGCUAAAAAUGAUUCAAAGAGAAUGCAAAAAGAAUCAGGCACAAAUCGUUUACUAUACUCUGUUAUGCAAAUCUCACCUUACUAUGUGUUUGUAUUCUAUUCCUCCACAAUCUUUAUUUUAUUUUAAUGUUCAAAGAGACUUGUAGGUGCCAAUUAAAUGAACAAAACAGCCAGAGACAACAGAACUGCCCUAAAAAAAGUCCCGCAUCAGCUCUUGAGAGCAGGUUCCUUAAAGGUGAACAAUAUUCCACAUACAAGGACUUUUUCAGCACCAUGCAUUAGAAAUGGAAGUGAAUGUUUAUUAUUUUUUGUAUAAGUUGGUUGAUAUGGCUUUUCAGCUUCCCUCAGUAUCAUUAUCCAAAUUUUGUAGAUGACACUAAAGCUCAGAGGAGUUAAACCAUUUUCCUUAAAUCACAUAGCUUUAAAUAGGAAAACCAGAUAUGAAAAGCAGAUUUUUUUUCUAAAUUAAAAAACCAAAAACAAAAACACGUGAGCUCUUGCUUUACCCUAGCACAUAGUCUUGCCAUCUGUUUUCUCCACACCAGGUGAUUCCUGUAACAUUCAUUCACAUAACAAAUACAAAUAAAUGAGUGGAUUCAUUCAUCAGAUAUUAAUUCAGAAUCCCUUUUGUGCCUUCCAGAAAUCUGGACCAUCUCACAACCCCCAGAGAGUCUCAGCUACAAGGAACAAGUGAUAAUGCCAUCCCACUUUUAUAAACACACACACACACACAUGCAAUACACACACAAUCAUUUAAUCAUUUUUAAUUAUUUAAUUAUUUUUUAAAAAUCAGUGACACUUUAGCUGGGCAGGUCUAGAUAGGUCUUCUUUGCUGGGACGUGUCUUUUUCUGUCCUGGAAUACCCUAAACUUCACAUUUUGGCAGCGUGAGUUUUCCCUUUGUGACUUUCUCCUUCUUCCCUUUUUUCCUCCUUCUUUGCAGAGAAUGAGUAGCCACUGCACCUUGCCCUGCGCCAUCAAUGAGAAGAUCUGCUCUUAGUAGAGCCCUGCUUUCCCGCUGAAGGCCCUGAAAUCACCUGUGUUCCAGGCCACCCACUAAGGAUAAACAAAGCUUCCCUGAUAUGGGGAAUUAGCUCAAGUGGUAGAGCGCUUGCUUAGCAUGCAAGAGGUAGUGGGAUCAAUGCCCACAUUCUCCAAGCUUUAUUAUUUAGGUACCCAAACCCGAGUCAGUGUCUGAGAGCAAGACACUGCUCUCGGUGUCUUUGGUUCAAGACAUAGGAGCAGCAACAAUACAGGACUGGUGACAGCUUCCUGCUGGCAUUCAGUAUAGUGUAGAUCUACUGUGUAAUUAAUUUUCUGUUUCUUCGAGGAGCUGUGAAACCAAAGGACAUAUAAAACUGCUCUUUUCUCCCUGUUUCUGCCUGCAGCUUGGUCCUAAAUGUGAGACAAUUGUGAAAAGUGGAGGACAGAGCCACCUGGUUAAAUACAGCCCCAGCUUUCUGGUGAGAGGACUGAAACCAAGAUGUGUCAAGUAACUAGAAUGUGCCUGGACAGAUACUGUAGAAAGCAAAACCAUAAAGUUGUUCAUGAGCUUGUGGACGCACCUGCCAGCUGUGAAUAAGUGGCUCUAAUCCCGAACAACUUACCUAAAAAGAGCCUGAGAGCUGAACUGUGCAAUGGCCCACUUUCCAGUCCUCACUGACCACUGGGUUGCACACACUUUGGAGAUCUCUGAACAGCAGUGUCAAGGCUUUCAAAUAGAGUUAUCUUUGAAACGACAACACAUGAAAGUCUGGUUGGUACUUGGAGCUUAAAUACAAGGCAAUUGUGUGCCUGCAAAAACAAAAAUAGCAAUAUUAUCCUUAAGAUUUCAACAAGACACAGUGUCUCAUCACAUAAUCCAAAGAAGUCCAGGUUACAAGCCCCACAAUAUUCAGCAUUAUGAAAAAACAGGGAGAUCUUAAUUCACAUGGCAAAGAGAAUCCUCGAAUAACAAUAUUGAGAGGACACAGAUGUCAAAAUCAUCUGACACAUACAUUAAAGCAGAUAUUAUAACAAUGCUCCUAGAAUCGGGGAUAACAUUCGUGAAGUGAAUGGAAAGUUGGAAAGUCUCACCAAAUAUUUCGAAUACAUAAACACCAAUUUAAACUUAAGAAUUAAAAAAAUGUAUUAACCAAAACUCUUAGGGGAAAUAAAAAGCUUAAUUGGAGGAUCUCCAUAAUCGAAUGCAGAAGACUAAGGAAAAAGUCAAUGAACUUGAAAACAGAACACGAAUACCUACAUAAUCUGAACUAUAGAGAGAAAGGAGGAUUUUAUUGUCUCUGAACAGAGGCUCAGGCACAAAUAAAAAAUAACAAAUCCAACAUUCACAUUAUUGUAAUCUGGAAAGAAGAGGACAAAGUGGUCUUUGUGGGAUAAAACUUUGAACAAUUAAUAGCUGAAAAUGGUUCAAAUUUGUCAAAAGAUAUAAACCAGAUUUUUAAAGUUCAGUAAAUGUCAAUCAGGAUAAACCCAAAGAAACCCAUAGCAAGGCAUAUCAUAAUCAAACUGCUGAAAACUAAGAAAAUACAAAACAAUUUUGAAAGCAGCCAAAGGGAAAUGAAAGAGAAACUACCAAAUGAAUGAUUGUAGAUUUCGCAUCAGGAACCAUAGGGGCCAGAAAAAAUGUCAUAACAUUCGGUAAGUAACAAAAGAAAAAGACAUAUCGACCCAGAAUGCUAUGUGGAGCAAAAGUAUCUUCCAGACAUAAAGGCAAAUAAAUGCAUUCUCAGUGGAAGGUAAGUAAAUACAUUCUCAUUCUUAGGAAGACUGCUGGAAAAGAAUUAGCAAAGAUUUGAGAUAAGAAAAAUGAUACCAGAAGGAAACUUAGAACAUCAUCAGUGAAGGAACAAAAGCAGAAAUAGAACAUGUCUGGGUAGACAUAACAGACUAUUAUUCUUCCCUUGAGUUCCUUAAGGAGACUACGGAAAAGAAGAGUGACUAAGAUCUCUGAAGAAGGGAAAAGCUAGAUGACUGGGCCACAAGAGGAAAAAAAGCAGCAAGACAGAGAUUUGUUGGUGCCAACUAAAUGAGCCCAACAGCCAGUGACAACAGAACUGCACUAAAAAAAGUCCCUCAUCAGCUCUUGAGAGCAGGUUCCUUAAAGCUUGAAUGUGAGGCAACUGUGAAAAGUGCAGGGCAGAGCCACCUGGGUAAAUACAGCCCUGGCUUUCUGGUGAGAGGACUGAAACCAGGAUGUGUCAAGUAACUAGAAUGUGCCUGGACAGAUACUGUAGAAAGCAAACCCAUAAAGUUGUUCAUGAGCUUGUGGACGCACCUGCCAGCUGUGAAUAAGUGGGUCUAAUCCCAAACAACUUACCUAAAAAGAGCCUGAGGACUGAACUAAACAAUGGUCCACUUUCCAGUCCUCACUGACCACUGGUUGCACACACUCCAGAGAUCUCUCAUCCGCAGUGUCAAGGCUUUCAAAUAGAGUUAUCUGUGAAACAACAACACAUGGAAGUCUGGUUGGUACUUGGAGCUUAAAUACAAGGCAAUUGUGUGCCUGCAAAAACAAAAAGAGCAAUAUUAUCCUUAAGAUUUCAACAAGACACAGUGUCUCAUCACAUAAUCCAAAGAAGUCCAGGUUACAAGCCCCAAAAUAUUCAGCAUUAUGAAAAACCAGGGAGAUCUUAAUUCACAUGGCAAAGAGAAUCCUUGCAUAACAAUAUUGAGAGGACACAUAUGUCAAAAUCAUCUGACACAUACAUUAAAGCAGUUAUUAUAACAAUGCUCCUAGAAUUACGGGAUAGCAUUCAUGAAGUGAAUGGAAAGUUGGAAAGUCUCACCAAAUAUUUGGAAUAUGUAAACACCAAUUUAAACUUAAGAAUUAAAAAAAGUAUUAACCAAAACUAUUAGGGGAAAUAAAAAGCUUAAUUGGAUGAUCUCAAUAGCAGUAUGCAGAAGACUAAGGAAAAAGUCAAUGAACUUGAAAACGGAACAAGAAUACCUACAGAAUCUGACCUAUAGAAAGAAAGGAGGAUUUUAUUGUCCCUGAACAGAGGCUCAGGGACAAAUAAAAAAUAACAAAUCUAACAUUCACAUUAUUGUAAUCUGGAAACAUUCACAUUAUUGUAAGAGGACAAAGAGGUCUUUGUGGGAUAAAACUGUGAAGAAUUAAUGGCUGAAAAUGUAUCAAAUUUCUCAAAAGAUAUAAACCAGAUUUUUAAAGUUCAGUAAAUGUCAAGCAGGAUAAACCAAAAGAAACCCAUUGCAAGACAUAUCAUAAUCAAACUGCGGAAAAUUAAGAAAACACAAAACAAUUUUGAAAGCAGCCAAAGGGAAAUGAAAGAUAAAAUACCAAAUGAAUGAUUGUAGAUUUCUCAUCGGGAACCCAGGAGCCAGAAAAAAAUGUCAUAACAUUCAGUAAAUACCAAAGGAAAAAUACAUUAUCAACCCAGAAUGGUAUGUGGAGCAAAAGUAUCUUCCAGACAUAAAGGCAAAUAAAUGCAUUCUCAUUGGAAGGUAAAUAAAUACAUUCUCAGUCCUAGCAAAACUGCUGGAAAAGAAUUAGCAAAGGUUUGAGAUAAGAAAAGUGAUACCAGAAGGAAACUUAGAACAUCAUCAAUGAAGGAACAAAAGCAGAAAUAGAAAAUGUCUGGGUAGACAUAACAGACUAUUAUUCUUCUCUUGAGUUCCUUAAGGUAUGUUUGAUGGUUGAAAGCAAAAAUUGUAACUUUAUCUGAUGCAGUUGUCAUUGUAUCUAGAUGUACUACAUACAUAAGAUAAAAGGGUAAAUGUAAUGGGACUAACUCUUGAUGAAGUUUCUAUAUUCAACUUGAAUGGUAAAAUAUUGAUUCUUAGUAUACUGUGAAAAGUUAUAUAUGUAUAUGGUAAUCCCUAGACCACUUAACAACCAGAUUGAAAUAAACCAAAACAAGAUAGACAGAGGAACAUAGAAGAAUUAAAACAAAGGGAAAAAAGGUUAAUAAAUUAUUAAAUAGUAGAUCUAUCUAAAAACUUAUCUAUAAUAACAUUAUAUGUAAAUUAUCUAAAUGCAUUAAGUAAAAACUAGAGAUCAUCAGAAUGUGUUAAAAAUAAAUAUGCUGACUAAAGAAAGCCACCUGCAAUACACUUAUAAAUAAGAAUAAAAGUUAUAGAGCAGAUUGAAAGAAAAGAGUGGGAAAAGAUACCUCAUGCAAGCAUUAAUCAAAGACAGCUGUGGUGUAUAUAUAUAAAAUCAGACAAAGUAGAUUUGAAAGCAGAGAAACUUUUCAGGAAUAAUGAGGCCUCCUAAAUAAUUAUGAUUGUCAAUUUUUCAGGAGAAUAUUGUCCCAAAUGUAUAUGAGGACACAGAGCUUCAAAACUCAUAAACAAAAUUGGAUACGCCAAGUAAAAAUAGAAAAAUCCAGUUAUAGUUGCAGUCAUUAACACUCCUCUCUGAGUAAUUGGAAGAUUUAGUGGAACACAAAUCAACAGACAUACUGGAGAAUUGAACCAUGCCAUCCAGUAAUGGACCUAUCAAUUUCAUAAUGCAAAAUAAAAAUUCAGGUAGAAAGCAAAGACAAAAAUUAAAAGAAAAGCAAGAUCAUGUUAUAAUGAGAAAAUUAAGAGUAGUCCAGUGUAUAGAAGGGUGCUAUUAUUGAAAGAGUUUGAAAUAGUGACUUAGUUAUUUUGAAACAUUUUUGAAGACGUUAUUUAGCUGGAAAUGACAGAAAGACUGAAAAUGGUGAAUGUGGAGGUGGAUCUUCCCUUGUCCAUAUUUAUCUUGUCUUCGUUUGAGGUCUGGGGUGUCUAUACUUCCUCUGAAUUACCUGAUCUUACUACAGUGUCUGGCACAGAGCAUCUCCCCAGUGAAUAUGUACUAAAUGAGUAGAAAGUAAUUGAUAGAUUCAAAAGAGUUGUGCAAGAAUAAUGUUCAUUAUUUGACUAAUCACUGAAUGUGGUGUUUCAAGGAAGACAAUGAAUCAAAGUUGACUUGAAAGGUAAGCCCAGGGCCAGACGUGGUGGCUCAUUUCUGUAAUCCCAGCACUUUGGGAGGCCGAGAUCAGUGGAUCCCUUGACACCAGGAGUUUGAGACCAGCCUAGGCAACACAGUGAAAACCUGUCUCUACAACAAAUACAAAAAUUAGCCGGGUGUGGUGGUAUGCAUCUGUAGUUCCAGCUACUCAGGAGGCUGAGGUGGGAGGAUCGCUUGAACUCAGGAGGUGGAGGUUGCAGUGAACAGAGAACGCACCGGUACCUGGACAACAAAGUGAGACCCUGUCAUAAAAUAAAAUAGUUAAACCCAGGCCAGGAGGGGUGGCUCAUGCCUGUAAUCCCAGCACUUUGGAAGGCCAAGGUAGGCUGAUCACGUGACGUCAGGAGGUUGAGACCAGCCUGGCCAACAUGGUGAAACCCCGUCUCUACUAAAAAUACAAAAAUUAACCAAGCGUGGUGGCAGGCACCUGUAGUCCCAGCUACUCUGGAGGCUGAGACAGGAGAAUUACUAGAACCCGGGAGGCAGAGGUUGCAGUGAGCCAAGAUCUUACCAUUGCACUGCAGCCUGGGCGACAGAGUGACACUCUGUCGAAAAAAAAAAAAAAAAAAAAGUUAAGCCCAAAAAGUAAGUAAGGAAGAGGUUUGGAAUUAGAUAUUUGUUGUAUGAAUGAGUGAGCUAAAGUGCAAAAGAACGGGCAGAAUAACUGAGCUGGUACAGAGGGAAAAAAUCACAUUUAAAAUCUAAAAAUAUCUGCUUCUUAGUUCAGGCUUUCCCACUUAGCAGCUUUGGCACCUUAGGAACACUUAACUUAUCUGAGCCUCUAUUACUUCUAAAAAGUGCAUAAAGUGCAGACUAAGACAGUUUUUUUGGCAAAAUUCAGUCAGACUACAUCAAGUAAACUCCCUAAGUCUCCUAGUAUAAUUCAUGGCACAAAAAAUUGGGGAAAAAACAGGGAGGAUAUGAUUAUAAGUUCAGUUUAUGUUUUUUGUUGAGUGAAUGUCUCCAGUCAUAGAGAUGCAAGUGUAGAUACACAGUAAGAGUAGUAUGAAUGGGAGACACCUUGGAAGGCUAUUUCUUCCUUCCUUCAUUCAGUUGGUCACUCAGUGAACUAUCAUGAAUUGAGCACCGCCUCUGUUUCUUAUCAACAAAGGAGACUGCGGAAAAGAAGAGUGACUAAGAUCUCUGAAGAAGGGAAAAGCUAGAUGACUGGGCCACAAGAGGAAAAAAAGCAGCAAGACAGUUACAAUUGUUUCUGGUCCCACUUUUAUAAACACACACACACACACACACACACACACACACACACACAAAAUCAUUUAAUCAUUUUUAAGUAUUUAAUCAUUUUUUAAAAAUCUGUGAUGCUUUACCUGGGCAUGUCUAGGCAGGUCCUCCUUUGCUAGGACGUGCCCUUUUCUGUCCCGGAAUACUCUAAACUUGGCAUUUUGGCAGCGUGAAGUUUUCCCGUUGUGACUUUCUCCUUGUUCCCUUUUCUCCUCCUUCUUUGCAGACAAUGAGUAGCCACUGCUGUUUGCCCUGGCCCAUCAAUGAGAAGAUCUGCUCUUAGAGCCCUGCUUUCCUGCUGAAGGCCCUGAAAUCACCUGUGUUCCAGGCCACCUGCUAACAAUAAAUAAUGCUGCCCUGAUGUGGGGAAUUAGCUCAAGUGGUAGAGCGCUUGCUUAGCACGCAAGAGGUAGUGGGAUCGAUGCCCACAUUCUCCAAGCUUUAUUAUUUAGACAUCGUGUCUCCAAACACUCAGGUCUCCAAACCCAAGUUAGUGUCUGAGAACAGGAUGCUGCUUUGGUUCAAGACGUAGGAGCAGCAAUAAUAGAGGGCUGGUGAUGGCUCCCUCUUGGCAUUCAGUAUAGUGUAGAUCUACCAUGUAAUUAAUUCUCUGUUUCUUUGAGGAGCUGUGAAACCAAGGGACAUAUACAACUGCUCUUUUCUCCCUGUUUCUACCUGCAGCUUUGUCCUAAAUGUGAGACAAUUAUGAAAAGUGCAGCGCAGAGCCACUUGGGUAAAUACAGCCCCGGCUUUCUGCUCAGGGGACAGAGUUUGAGGCACUGCAGAGGAACCGGCCAAAGUAUGAGACCCAUAUAUUGAGAGUAACAGAGUGUAAAGUUCAAAAAAAUCAAAAUAUUUAAAGAUUUAUCAUGGGUCUUGAUGACAUGAUGGAAUCUCUCUACUCUCUGGACUUAUUAUGUGUGGUAAUAAAUUUACUUUUUAAAAGCCA